UCAGUCGACUCCUACGGGGAGGCAGCAGUGGGGAAUAUUGCACAAUGGGGGAAACCCUGAUGCAGCCAUGCCGCGUGUGUGAAGAAGGCCUCGGGUUGUAAAGCACUUUCAGUAGGGAGGAAGGUAGUGUAGUUAACACCUGCACUAUUUGACGUUACCUACAGAAGAAGCACCGGCUAACUCCGUGCCAGCAGCCGCGGUAAUACGGAGGGUGCGAGCGUUAAUCGGAAUUACUGGGCGUAAAGCGCAUGCAGGCGGCCUGUUAAGUCAGAUGUGAAAGCCCGGGGCUUAACCUCGGAAUUGCAUUUGAAACUGGCAGGCUAGAGUCUUGUAGAGGGGGGUAGGAAUUUCAGGUGUAGCGGUGAAAUGCGUAGAGAUCUGAAGGAAUACCAGUGGCGAAGGCGGCCCCCUGGACAAAGACUGACGCUCAGAUGCGAAAGCGUGGGGAGCAAACAGGAUUAGAUACCCUGGUAG
Molecule: ribosomal RNA, 474 nt
Filed under: uncultured bacterium
Lineage: Bacteria
Description: bacterial SSU rRNA
Rfam family: Bacterial small subunit ribosomal RNA
Source: RNAcentral